Molecule: ribosomal RNA, 484 nt
Filed under: uncultured bacterium
Lineage: Bacteria
Description: partial 16S ribosomal RNA
Rfam family: Bacterial small subunit ribosomal RNA
Source: RNAcentral
AUUGAACGCUGGCGGCAGGCCUAACACAUGCAAGUCGAGCGGAUGAAGGGAGCUUGCUCCUGGAUUCAGAGGCGGACGGGUGAGUAAUGCCUAGGAAUCUGCCUGGUAGUGGGGGAUAACGUCCGGAAACGGGCGAUAAUACCGCACACGUCCUGAGGGAGCAAGUGGGGGAUCUUCGGACCGCACGCUAUCAGAUGAGCCUAGGUCGGAUUAGCUAGUUUGUGGGGGAAAGGCCUACCAAGGCGACGAUCCGUAACUGGUCUGAGAGGCUGAACAGUCACACUGGAACUGAGACACGGUCCAGACUCCUACGGGAGGCAGCAGUGGGGAAUAUUGGACAAUGGGCGAAAGCCUGAUCCAGCCAUGCCGCGUGUGUGAAGAAGGUCUUCGGAUUGUAGAGCACUUUAAGUUGGGAGGAAGUGCAGUAAUUUAAUACCUUGCUGUUUUGACGUUACCAACAGAAUAAGCACCGGCUAACUUCGUG